UACGUAGGGUGCAAGCGUUGUCCGGAAUUAUUGGGCGUAAAGAGCUCGUAGGCGGUUUGUCGCGUCUGCUGUGAAAACCCGAGGCUCAACCUCGGGCCUGCAGUGGGUACGGGCAGACUAGAGUGCGGUAGGGGAGAUUGGAAUUCCUGGUGUAGCGGUGAAAUGCGCAGAUAUCAGGAGGAACACCGGUGGCGAAGGCGGGUCUCUGGGCAUUAACUGACGCUGAGGAGCGAAAGCAUGGGGAGCGAACAGG
RNAcentral lists this ribosomal RNA (253 nucleotides) under uncultured bacterium. RNAcentral describes it as "partial 16S ribosomal RNA". It matches the Rfam family "Bacterial small subunit ribosomal RNA", at positions 524 to 776 of the family's 1533-position model. The record is from RNAcentral.